Molecule: long non-coding RNA, 1150 nt
Filed under: Sparus aurata (gilthead seabream)
Lineage: Eukaryota; Metazoa; Chordata; Actinopteri; Spariformes; Sparidae
Description: lncRNA (ENSSAUG00010026349.1)
Source: RNAcentral
CACACAGCUGCCCCGUGACAUUUGUCCAUGUGAGUAUUUGUGUGUGUGUUCAUCCAUCAUGCCCUCCACCCAGAUUAUUGAGUCAUCCUAUGGCCUGAGAAACUAAUAAUACCCCCAUGUCUCUGCUGCUAUUUUAGGCCUUGUGGGUCUGCAAGGUUGGGGGUGUGUGUGUGUGUGUGUGUGUGUGUAAGAGAGAGCAUGUUUGGAGGCUGAAAAGACUUCCCCCCCCUCUCUCUCUCCACGUCUCUACCUCUCUCUGCCUCUCUCACACGGUCACGGUGGGCUAAAUGGGAACAUGGGUGCGCACAAACAUAGUUAGCGUGAGGGGUUGGCAGAGGGGCAUCCUGCAGUUGCUCAGUGACAAACACACACACACUCACAAAGAGGAUUCGGACCCCGAGGCAAAACCUGGAGGUUCCCUGCUUUCACACGUCAAGGAUUGCACUGGAAUUUACGUAUUUCAUUGCUGGGAUUUAAUUUGAGCUCGGUUGGAUCACUUCUGGACGACCUGUGUGGAUAUUUAAUGCAACUUGUCGCUGCUCGCGUGGGUGCGGACACAAUCCAGAGUCUGAGUGUGAGGGUGAAGGAGAAGAGCAGCAGAUAGUCAAGAACAAGCAGCCAUACGUGGCGACAGAGGCCCCCUGAAGCGGAGGAGAGAAUGUCGAGGCCUCCCUCCUCCCAGACCACCCCUCAGUUCCAGAGGGUCAGCGAGAGAGAUCUCACAGAGAUCGAGCUCCAUUCUGUGGACUCCAUCAACGACCUCCACCGGACACACCAUGAUCACAGCCACAAAGUGAUGAGGCCUCCUCGCCCUGCUUACACACCCUCACAGAAUGGGAACCUCUACGCAUUUGACGCGACAGCUGUCAAUCAAAGAGGCCGCCCGGUUGGCAGCAAAUGGCAGAGCCGUCUACAGGACAUGCUGACGCCCAGUUCAUCGCAUGCCUAUGCAAUGGGCUGCGCUAUUAUCUCUUUGCUACUGCUAACUGUGUUACUCAUCUUCUACUUUUUGGUCCAGCAGGGCGGCGCAGUUCGGAUGCUGACGGAGGCUCUGAGGGAGAGAGAGGCAGCAGCCACAGAGCUGUCACUGCUGAUCCAAGAACUGCAGACACUGAGACACAACCUGACAGCCAUCAGAGGGGCAACAUGA